CUGGCAUAUGAGCUUAUGGAGCAGCCCCCUUUGAAGAUAUCCAGGUAGACUUCACAGAGAUGCCAAAGUGUGGAGAUCUUAUUCCCAGAUUUGGACUGCCCUUAUGGAUCGGCUGAGAUAACGGGCCUGCAUUUGUGGCUGACUUGGUACAGAAGACGGCAAAGGUAUUGCGGAUCACACGGAAACUGCAUGCUGCCUACUGGCCUCAGAGUUCUGGAAAGUUGGAGCGGAUUAAUCGGACUAUCAAAAAUAGCAUUAUUGUCUUCUCCGCUGGUUAUUAAAAACAAUAACACAAGGGGCGUCAAACCACCUGCCCAAUUAGAGGG
RNAcentral lists this long non-coding RNA (326 nucleotides) under Homo sapiens (human). RNAcentral describes it as "HSALNT0344836". The record is from RNAcentral. Lineage: Eukaryota; Metazoa; Chordata; Mammalia; Primates; Hominidae.